This 77-nucleotide transfer RNA is filed under the name Candidatus Dormiibacterota bacterium. Its description in RNAcentral is "tRNA-Arg". It matches the Rfam family "tRNA". From Rfam's summary of the family: Transfer RNA (tRNA) molecules are approximately 80 nucleotides in length. Their secondary structure includes four short double-helical elements and three loops (D, anti-codon, and T loops). RNAcentral also lists the same sequence under 4 other names. The record is from RNAcentral. Lineage: Bacteria; Bacillati; Candidatus Dormiibacterota.
GCCCCCUUAGCUCAGAUGGAUAGAGCACAGGAUUCCUAAUCCUGGGGCCGUGGGUUCGAAUCCCGCAGGGGGCACCA